This 714-nucleotide long non-coding RNA is filed under the name Homo sapiens (human). RNAcentral's name for it is "HSALNT0135424". The record is from RNAcentral. Lineage: Eukaryota; Metazoa; Chordata; Mammalia; Primates; Hominidae.
GUUUUCCAUUCUUCCUUGACAUUUGACUAUUUGCAGAGCUUUCUCUUCUGUUUGUUCUUGUGUGACUCACUUAUCGGCUGUCAUAGGCCCAUGUUCGAUUUAUUUAAAUUGAAUGAAUAAGUACAUUAGGCGAGGCUGUCAGGAGGAGAGAGAAUGGGAACUUAUUGGGAUGACUGAUAAGUCAACACUCUGCAAUAGAGAUUCUCAGCAAAACUGCACAAAUCAAAACGCUAAAUGGAGGCAAGGAGACAGCCCAGGGCCUCCAAAGGCAGGAUCCUAAGGCUCAGAGAUCCUACAGCUCACCUGAGGCCACAGAACCCUGGAAGCUGCAGCCCCCUGACCCCACUCCCUCAACUCUCUCCUCUCCUCUGCCACCUGGAAAGCAGAGUCCCAAGGCCAGCCAUUCUGCUGGUGCAUCUCUAAAUACAGGGUAGUGCAUCUCUUCCCAAUGAGAUUUCUCCCUCCCACAGAUUUAUCAACCAGCUACCUUGGUGAAUUCACAGAGAGGAUGGUGGCCCUUUAACACAGAACUGCUAGAUGGAUGCUGAUAUGGUUUGGCUGUGUCCCCACCCAAAUCUCAUCUUGAACUGUAGCUCCCAUAAUUCCCACGUGUUGUGGGAGACACCCAGUGGGAGAUAAUAGAAUCAUGGGGUGGUUUCCCCCAUACUAUUCUCCUGGUUGUAAAUAAAUCUCACAAGAUCUGAUGGUUUUAUA